UACGUAGGGGGCAAGCGUUAUCCGGAUUUAUUGGGCGUAAAGGGCUCGUAGGCGGUUUGUCACGUCGGGAGUGAAAACUCAGGGCUCAGCCCUGAGCGUGCUUCCGAUACGGGCAGACUAGAGGUAUGCAGGGGAGAACGGAAUUCCUGGUGUAGCGGUGGAAUGCGCAGAUAUCAGGAGGAACACCGGUGGCGAAGGCGGUUCUCUGGGCAUUACCUGACGCUGAGGAGCGAAAGCAUGGGGAGCGAACAGG
RNAcentral lists this ribosomal RNA (253 nucleotides) under uncultured bacterium. Its description in RNAcentral is "partial 16S ribosomal RNA". It matches the Rfam family "Bacterial small subunit ribosomal RNA", at positions 524 to 776 of the family's 1533-position model. The record is from RNAcentral.